Molecule: ribosomal RNA, 386 nt
Filed under: uncultured euryarchaeote
Lineage: Archaea; Methanobacteriati; Methanobacteriota
Description: bacterial SSU rRNA
Rfam family: Archaeal small subunit ribosomal RNA
Source: RNAcentral
CACCAGCAGCCCAAGUGGUGACCACGAUUAUUGGGCCUAAAGCGCUCGUAGCCGGAUCAGCAAGUCCCUUGUGAAAUCGGGCCGCCUAACGGUUCGGCGUGCAAGGGAUACUGUUGGUCUUGAGGCCGGGAGAGGUCGGAGGUACUCCUGGGGUAGCGGUGAAAUGCUCUAAUCCUAGGGGGACCACCAGUGGCGAAGGCGUCCGACCAGAACGGACCUGACGGUGAGGGGCGAAGGCUAGGGGAGCGAACGGGAUUAGAUACCCCGGUAGUCCUAGCUGUAAAGCAUGCGGGCCAGGUGUCUAGCGCUCCUCGAGGGCGCUAGGUGCCGGAGGGAAGCCGUUAAGCCCGCCGCCUGGGAAGUACGGCCGCAAGGCUGAAACUUAA